This 1144-nucleotide long non-coding RNA is filed under the name Oryza sativa (Asian cultivated rice). RNAcentral describes it as "long non-coding RNA (OSAT_LNC001568)". Lineage: Eukaryota; Viridiplantae; Streptophyta; Magnoliopsida; Poales; Poaceae. The record is from RNAcentral.
CUUGAGCUAUUGGAUCUAUGCAACGUGAUGCAUGAGGACUUCACAGAGUUGAAGGCCAUCAUUCAAGAUAUGCAAGUGGCCCUGAGAAAAGGAGAUGAUGCAGCUGUUCAAUCCAAGACCCAAUCAUACUACCGCUUGUUGAAGAAGGCAAAGAAACAUUUCAAGACUGCAAAGAAGGUUACUUAUGAAAAGGAGGAUUGCAGGAUGGCCAGGCUAUUGAGGGAGGCUAGAGAUAUAUCAACCUCUAUGCUGGAGUCCACACUGCAUCUCCUGUCAAAGCAAAUCGAAAUGCCCAAACAAUCACUUGUUUCCAAGGCAUUCAACAAGAAGAAAGUAGUUAUUUGCGAGGAGGAGCAAUUGCAGGUGUUAGAGUGCAGCAUCAGAGAUCUUGAGAGCGGAGCAGGACAUCUGUUCAGGAAAUUGGUCCAGAGCAGAGUUUCUCUCCUCAACAUUCUUAGCUCAUAGAUACUCCAGAAUCUUCACUCGACACCCAGCGAUUGGCAUCCGCCUUUUAAAGGAUCUGCUGAUCUUUCACAUUGUAUAUAUAUAAGUAGAAAUGUACAGAAAACUCCAUACAUAAUAGUGAACAAAAGUUUUGGCCAAACUCAGUGUCAUGAAAAUCCUUGCAUGCUUCUGAUUUCAACCUCUAUGCGAUUAUCCAUGUCAGUACUGUUGCCCUUGUGCAGUUGUGCUUUGCUCCGAACAUAGUCUGCAAAAGAAAAGACAGCAUGUGAUCUGUGAAAUACGUGCGGAAUUAUUUGAUGACGCCAACAAAAAAAAAAUGUUCGAUGAAUGCAGAAUCACAAGGAAUUAUCCAUUGGCCCUGAACAUUCGCUUGUCUACUCAGGUCUCAACAGGAUGGCCGCGAAGGAUUCGGCUGGGAACGCAAGGCAUUGCGAAGAUACCGCAGAUACCGUGUGCUAUUGAGUUAGGGUUAGUGGGAUACCUCCGCCAGAACUGAUGGAGACCUCCGCGAUCUUGUCGGGGGCUGCCUUCCAGGGCGGGGGUAGCGGCGGGAAGGGUGGUCGCGGCCUCACCGGCAGCCGGCGGCGAGCGGCGCAUCUCCUCGCUCCUCUUCUUCUUCUCCGGUGGGGGGUGGUGGCGAGUGGUGAGACGAAGACACGUGGAUUGGGGAACGAGUGGG